RNAcentral lists this transfer RNA (47 nucleotides) under Aglaodorum griffithii. Its description in RNAcentral is "partial transfer RNA-Phe". It matches the Rfam family "tRNA", at positions 1 to 46 of the family's 71-position model. From Rfam's summary of the family: Transfer RNA (tRNA) molecules are approximately 80 nucleotides in length. Their secondary structure includes four short double-helical elements and three loops (D, anti-codon, and T loops). The record is from RNAcentral. Lineage: Eukaryota; Viridiplantae; Streptophyta; Magnoliopsida; Alismatales; Araceae.
GUCGGGAUAGCUCAGUUGGUAGAGCAGAGGACUGAAAAUCCUCGUGC